AUAAAACCUGGACGAUGGACGUCCAUCGUCCAAUAAAACCUGGACGAUGGACGUCCAUCGUCCAUCGUCCAUA
Paramuricea clavata is the source of this 73-nucleotide non-coding RNA. The record is from the annotation of a GenBank genome assembly. Lineage: Eukaryota; Metazoa; Cnidaria; Anthozoa; Malacalcyonacea; Plexauridae.